RNAcentral lists this ribosomal RNA (404 nucleotides) under uncultured bacterium. Its description in RNAcentral is "partial 16S ribosomal RNA". It matches the Rfam family "Bacterial small subunit ribosomal RNA", at positions 338 to 734 of the family's 1533-position model. The record is from RNAcentral.
CCUACGGGAGGCAGCAGUAGGGAAUCUUCCACAAUGGACGAAAGUCUGAUGGAGCAACGCCGCGUGAGUGAAGAAGGGUUUCGGCUCGUAAAGCUCUGUUAGUAGUGAAGAAAGAUAGAGGUAGUAACUGACCUUUAUCUGACGGUAAUUUGUUAGAAAGUCACGGCUAACUACGUGCCAGCAGCCGCGGUAAUACGUAGGUGGCAAGCGUUGUCCGGAAUUAUUGGGCGUAAAGCGAGUGCAGGCGGUUCAGUAAGUCUGAUGUGAAAUCCUUCGGGUCAACCGGAGAAUUGCAUAAGAAACUGGCGAACUUGAGUGAGGAAGAGGUGAGUGGAACUCCAUGUGUAGCGGUGGAAUGCGUAGAUAUAUGGAAGAACACCAGUGGCGAAGGCGGCUCUCUGGUC